GGACCAUAAAGAAGGAUGAGAGCCAAAGAACUGAUGCUUUCCAACCGUGGUGCUGGAGAAGACUCUUGAGAGUCUCUUGUCAGUCAAGGGGCUGAUUGACAAUGAAUCAAACCAGUCAAUCCUAAAGGAAAUCAACUCUGAAUAUUCACUGGGAGGACUGAUGCUGAAGUUGAAGCUCCAAUACUUUGGCCACCUGAUGGGAAGAGCUGACCCAAUGGAAAAGGAAGGAUUGAAGGCGGGAGGAGAAGGGGACGACAGAGGAUAAGAUGGUUAGAUGGCAUCACCCACUCAAUGGACAUGAGUUUGAGCAAACUCCAGGAGAUAGUGAUGGACAGGGAAGCCCGGCGUGCUGCAGUCCAUGGGGUCACAAAGAGUAGGACACAUCUUAGUGCCUGAACAACAACAACAGCCAGGAUGAUGCCCUGUGUGUCUCCCCACCCCUUGUGCCCUUUGUCUGGGUUUGGCUUCCCUCUCCAGACAGAACCACAGGAUUUUUAAAGGUGGCUUAGAGGCUCUAGGACACUGCUGACUGAGCCCACUGCCCACCGCUUGCUCCUUGCUCACCAUCGACAGCGUCUUGGUGCUCUGAGAGAGCCCUACAGCAGAGAGAAAGACUGCUGCCCCAGCCCACGGGAAGUCCUUCUCCAAGCCCAAACACUGCAGGGAGGAUCACCGGGGGCAGCCAGCACCCUGACGAGUGGGCUGACUCAGAGGGAGUCUCCAGUCAUGUCACCUAAAAAUCACCUGGAGUCAACUUGUUGGAGACAAGCUAAAAAAGGACAAUUGGAGAAAUAUGAAUGUGGG
This is a long non-coding RNA of Bos taurus (domestic cattle), 804 nucleotides long. Lineage: Eukaryota; Metazoa; Chordata; Mammalia; Artiodactyla; Bovidae. The record is from Ensembl.